UGGGGAAUAUUGGACAAUGGGCGAAAGCCUGAUCCAGCCAUGCCGCGUGUGUGAAGAAGGCCUUAGGGUUGUAAAGCACUUUCAGUGGGGAGAAAGGUGAUUCACCUAAUACGUGAGUCAAUUGAUGUUACCCACAGAAGAAGCACCGGCUAACUCCGUGCCAGCAGCCGCGGUAAUACGGAGGGUGCAAGCGUUAAUCGGAAUUACUGGGCGUAAAGCGCACGUAGGUGGUUUGUUAAGCCAGCUGUGAAAUCCCCGGGCUCAACCUGGGCACUGCAGUUGGAACUGGCAAGCUAGAGUAGGGUAGAGGGGUGUGGAAUUCCAGGUGUAGCGGUGAAAUGCGUAGAUAUCUGGAGGAACAUCAGUGGCGAAGGCGACACCCUGGACUCAUACUGACACUGAGGUGCGAAAGCGUGGGGGAGCAAACAGGAUUAGAUACCC
Molecule: ribosomal RNA, 441 nt
Filed under: uncultured bacterium
Lineage: Bacteria
Description: bacterial SSU rRNA
Rfam family: Bacterial small subunit ribosomal RNA
Source: RNAcentral